UUGAUAAGAGAUGAAGUCAUUAAUUCAAUUCAACUGAAUCAAAGAAAAUAAUACAUGGACUUCCAUUCCCCCAUGUAAGUAAGCUAAUCCUUCAGCUGCACCAAGCAUAAUUUCUAAUCUCAUUUUCCAAGGCAAAGCGGGCAAACCUUUGUUAAAUAAAUGAUCUUCUAGGCUCUUGUUAGGCAUAUAUUCAUAAACCAAUAGCCGCUGGAUCCCUCUUUCAUUAUCUUCUGAGCAGUAACCUAGAAGUUUUACUAGGUUUGGGUGACUAACAACUCCAAGAAAUUGAACUUCUGCAAGCCAUUGUUUAUGGCCCUGCAAGCCAUACUUGUUGAGCUUCUUUAUGGCAACUGGUACGGAAUCUCCUUGACCAUCGGCAGGCCGAAUUGUUCCCUUAUACACACUCCCAAAACCACCUUCUCCAAUCUUGAGGAGUCUGUUAAAACCGUUUGUUGCCUCUCUAAGCUCUUGAAAAGAGAAAACUCUCAAAUUAUGCUCCUUCUCUUUGUACAAUUCAGUUAUACUUCUAGGAGAAGGUAAAGAUCUUGUUGUACGGCUCAAAGGUAAACUAUCUGGUGCGCUUCUGUUUCCCAAUUCUGGGGCCGAUCUUGAAUCUCCUUUCUUCUUCUUGGAUUUAUCCUUGAAAAUAUAAAAGCACUUCAUAUCUCUCAAUAUCAAAAUUCCCACAAUCUAAAAACUUGUUAUCCAGUUCAACAACACUUAGUUAAAGAGACGAUCAAGCAACACCCAACCAAAUGGAAGAAGAAGGAAAAAAGAAGAAAAGGAAAACCCACAAAAAA
This 800-nucleotide unclassified non-coding RNA is filed under the name Hevea brasiliensis (rubber tree). Lineage: Eukaryota; Viridiplantae; Streptophyta; Magnoliopsida; Malpighiales; Euphorbiaceae. The record is from RNAcentral.